GACGAACGCUGGCGGCGUGCUUAACACAUGCAAGUCGAACGGAAAGGCCCUGCUUUUGUGGGGUGCUCGAGUGGCGAACGGGUGAGUAACACGUGAGUAACCUGCCCUUUACUUUGGGAUAACUUCAGGAAACUUGGGCUAAUACCGGAUAGGAUCUCCUGCUGCAUGUUGGGGGUUGGAAAGUUUCGGCGGUUGGGGAUGGACUCGCGGCUUAUCAGCUUGUUGGUGGGGUAGUGGCUUACCAAGGCUUUGACGGGUAGCCGGCCUGAGAGGGUGACCGGCCAAAUUGGGACUGAGAUACGGCCCAGACUCCUACGGGAGGCAGCAGUGGGGAAUAUUGCACAAUGGGCGGAAGCCUGAUGCAGCAACGCCGCGUGCGGGAUGACGGCCUUCGGGUUGUAAACCGCUUUCGCCUGUGACGAAGCGUGAGUGACGGUAAUGGGUAAAGAAGCACCGGCUAACUACGUG
This 468-nucleotide ribosomal RNA is filed under the name uncultured bacterium. Its description in RNAcentral is "partial 16S ribosomal RNA". It matches the Rfam family "Bacterial small subunit ribosomal RNA", at positions 28 to 507 of the family's 1533-position model. The record is from RNAcentral.